Molecule: long non-coding RNA, 1062 nt
Organism: Daphnia pulex (common water flea)
Lineage: Eukaryota; Metazoa; Arthropoda; Branchiopoda; Diplostraca; Daphniidae
Exons: 3
Source: RefSeq, a predicted model, not a curated record
ACGACCAGUGUUGUUGUUCCAACGCCUCGGCCAAGUGGUGGUGGUCAGAUUGGAUGACGCUCACAUUUCCCCCCACCGAUAGCCAUCGUAUGAAUAAACAGGCAUUGUUACGCCACACGGACUAAUCACUACAUCUGGAUACACUGAUGAAAGAUUCUAUCUGGCAGCGCAGCUGUGUGUUGAUUCCUACGAAUCGGUCGCUGUUAUUGGAAACAAUUAAAAUUUUGGUUGGGCCGUUUUUUCUUUCGAGAGAAAGAGAAACGUAUAGGACACCGACCUACAUUCCAUUACGCAUUUUCCAGUGUUUGUUUUUUUGUUAAUGUUCAUGGCGAAUAUCAGCAGAAAUGGCGAUGAAAUCGUUUCGUUGAAAAGAAACGAGAAGCUCGACGCGUCGACAGAAAAUUGCGUCCAUCCCAAAAUACCGAAAAAGGGAACAACUGUCGAUCCUCAAUGAAUUAUUCAUGCGCGCGUUUUUCUCUUGAAAUUCUGCCCUUUCGGUACUGGCGGUACCCCUGGAAAAAAGCGACAAACUAAACCGAAGAAUUCUGUUGGCGAUUGAAACGUUGUUAACUAGACAACUCGAAGGUUAGAGAGUAGCUGAAUGCGCUUGUAGAUGGCGACGCUUGUUGGGUGCGGACGUGCGGGACUUGUAACUAAUAAUCGGAUGGGAAUGUUUGUACAUGAUAAUCAGAGACUUGCAUGGACUUUGACAACAAUGUUUCUGAAUUUUGAGGACAAGGUUGAACUUUAUAACUCGUUUCUGUCACAGCAUUUCAAUGAAACAUAUUUGGCUGAAAAACUUCGUUUUCUUGAAGUAGCGCAAAUUUUAAAAAUAAAAAAUUUUACAAUUUCAACCAUUGGCCGGAAUUCUCGCUGCUACUCGUUGUAAUAAACUCAAAGCUUCUUAGCUUCGAAGUCUCUUCUUAAACUUGCCAAGUCAUUUUUCUUUUUCAAGUUCGUACCGUACAAUAUUUUCGCUGUCGUGAUUGAACGUCUUCGCUAAACUCAAGAGAUGCUCAAGAUGUCUAAGCUAAUUUUAUCCAAGCAAAGUGUUAUACUAGA